This 189-nucleotide ribosomal RNA is filed under the name uncultured bacterium. RNAcentral's name for it is "partial 16S ribosomal RNA". It matches the Rfam family "Bacterial small subunit ribosomal RNA", at positions 1304 to 1500 of the family's 1533-position model. The record is from RNAcentral.
UCUGCAACCCGACUCCACGAAGCUGGAUUCGCUAGUAAUCGCGCAUCAGCCACGGCGCGGUGAAUACGUUCCCGGGCCUUGUACACACCGCCCGUCAAGCCAUGGGAGCCGGGGGUACCUGAAGUGCGUAACCGCGAGGAUCGCCCUAGGGUAAAACUGGUGACUGGGGCUAAGUCGUAACAAGGUACC